RNAcentral lists this ribosomal RNA (465 nucleotides) under uncultured bacterium. Its description in RNAcentral is "bacterial SSU rRNA". It matches the Rfam family "Bacterial small subunit ribosomal RNA", at positions 355 to 822 of the family's 1533-position model. The record is from RNAcentral.
UGAGGAAUAUUGGACAAUGGGCGCAAGCCUGAUCCAGCCAUGCCGCGUGCAGGAUGACGGUCCUAUGGAUUGUAAACUGCUUUUUGUACAGGAAGAAACAGUUCUACGUGUAGAACCUUGACGGUACUGUAAGAAUAAGGAUCGGCUAACUCCGUGCCAGCAGCCGCGGUAAUACGGAGGAUCCAAGCGUUAUCCGGAAUCAUUGGGUUUAAAGGGUCCGUAGGCGGUUAGAUAAGUCAGUGGUGAAAGCCCAUCGCUCAACGGUGGAACGGCCAUUGAUACUGUCUGACUUGAAUUAUUAGGAAGUAACUAGAAUAUGUAGUGUAGCGGUGAAAUGCUUAGAGAUUACAUGGAAUACCAAUUGCGAAGGCAGGUUACUACUAAUGGAUUGACGCUGAUGGACGAAAGCGUGGGUAGCGAACAGGAUUAGAUACCCCGGUAGUCCCUGAGCGGGCUGGCAAGGCG